Molecule: ribosomal RNA, 429 nt
Filed under: Verrucomicrobiota bacterium
Lineage: Bacteria; Pseudomonadati; Verrucomicrobiota
Description: Verrucomicrobia bacterium partial 16S ribosomal RNA
Rfam family: Bacterial small subunit ribosomal RNA
Source: RNAcentral
UAGGGAAUCUUCCGCAAUGGACGAAAGUCUGACGGAGCAACGCCGCGUGAGUGAAGAAGGCUUUCGGUUCGUAAAACUCUGUUGUUAGGGAAGAAAAAAUGUAUAGUAACUAUAUACAAAAGAGACGGUACCUAACCAGAAAGCCACGGCUAACUACGUGCCAGCAGCCGCGGUAAUACGUAGGUGGCAAGCGUUGUCCGGAAUUAUUGGGCGUAAAGCGCGCGCAGGUGGUUUAGAAAGUCUGAUGUGAAAGCCCACGGCUCAACCGUGGAGGGUCAUUGGAAACUAAUAAACGUGAGUGCAGGAGAGAAAAGUGGAAUUCCUAGUGUGGCGGUGAAAUGCGUAGUGAUUAGGAGGAACACCGGUGGCGAAAGCGGCUUUUUGGCCUGCAACUGACACUGAGGCACGAAAGCGUGGGGAGCAAACAGG